CACGUAGGGUGCGAGCGUUGUCCGGAAUUAUUGGGCGUAAAGAGCUCGUAGGCGGUGUGUCGCGUCGGCCGUGAAAACUUGCAGCUCAACUGUGGGCGUGCGGUCGAUACGGGCAUCACUGGAGUUCGGCAGGGGAGACUGGAAUUCCUGGUGUAGCGGUGAAAUGCGCAGAUAUCGGGAGGAACACCAGCGGUGUAGACGGCUUACUGGACCAUGACUGACGCUGAGGCACGAAAGCGUGGGGAGCAAACAGG
This 254-nucleotide ribosomal RNA is filed under the name uncultured bacterium. Its description in RNAcentral is "partial 16S ribosomal RNA". It matches the Rfam family "Bacterial small subunit ribosomal RNA", at positions 524 to 776 of the family's 1533-position model. The record is from RNAcentral.